Molecule: non-coding RNA, 45 nt
Organism: Schistosoma mattheei
Lineage: Eukaryota; Metazoa; Platyhelminthes; Trematoda; Strigeidida; Schistosomatidae
Source: Rfam
AUCCAGCUGACCAGUCCCAUACAGGACAAAAUGCUCAUCUUGGAU